Gossypium arboreum is the source of this 2443-nucleotide RNA transcript. Lineage: Eukaryota; Viridiplantae; Streptophyta; Magnoliopsida; Malvales; Malvaceae. The record is from RefSeq and is a predicted model, not a curated record.
GAUUUCGGGCCAACAUAGAAAUAGAAUGUCUAGCCCAUACAAAAGCCGACUCGAUAGCAUGUUCAAGAAGUUUCCCUAUAAAUUAUUUUCGCUAUCUCCCAAAUGUUCGUUUAUUUCCUCUUCUUUUCUCCGAUUAGGGUUCCUUCAUUAUUCUAUUUAGGAAAUUUUAAUUUUCAACUUGUUUUCGUUUAUUCUCUUCGAUUUUGGGUUAAACCGUAGAAGGCUCCUCGCGAAAACGUCAGAUGGCAACUUUAGCUGAUUCAUUCCUUGCGGACCUUGAUGAAUUAUCAGACAACGAAGCCGAUGUUCUGGACGAAGAAAAUAAUGAUGUCGCAAACAUGGAAGAAGAUAUUGAUGGUGACCUUGCGGAUAUCGAAACGCUUAACUACGAUGAUCUGGACAGUGUUUCCAAAUUGCAAAAAAGUCAGAGAUACAUUGAUAUUAUGCAGAAAGUGGAAGAUGCGCUCGAGAAGGGUUCUCAUAUAUCAAAUCAGGGCAUGGUACUGGAAGAUGAUCCUGAGUAUCAGCUGAUUGUGGACUGUAAUGGACUAUCAGUUGAUAUCGAGAAUGAGAUUGUUAUUAUCCAUAAUUUUAUACGUGAUAAGUACCGAUUGAAGUUUCCUGAGCUUGAAUCGCUUGUGCAUCAUCCAAUUGAUUAUGCUCGUGUGGUGAAAAAGAUUGGCAAUGAGAUGGAUUUAACCCUUGUGGAUUUGGAAGGGCUUUUGCCUUCAGCUAUCAUUAUGGUUGUUUCAGUUACAGCAUCAACUACCAGUGGCAAGCCACUUCCUGAAGAUGUUCUCCAGAAAACUGUUGAUGCGUGUGAUCGUGCUCUGGCUCUGGAUACUGCAAAGAAGAAGGUUCUUGAUUUUGUAGAAAGUAGAAUGGGAUAUAUUGCACCAAAUCUUUCUACUAUUGUUGGAAGUGCUGUUGCUGCUAAACUUAUGGGUACUGCUGGCGGUCUUUCAGCAUUAGCUAAGAUGCCUGCUUGUAAUGUUCAGCUGCUUGGUGCGAAGAAAAAGACCCUUGCAGGGUUUUCCACUGCAACGUCACAGUUUCGUGUUGGGUAUAUUGAACAGACAGAGAUUUUUCAAACUACACCCCCUGCUUUGAGGAGUCGUGCUUGUCGUCUCUUGGCUUCUAAAGCAACUCUUGCAGCACGUAUAGACUCUACUAGAGGGGAUCCUUUAGGGAAUGCUGGAAAAACCUUAAAGGAAGAAAUUCAUAAGAAAAUUGAAAAAUGGCAAGAACCACCUCCUGCAAAGCAGCCUAAACCACUUCCUGUUCCUGAUUCUGAACCUAAGAAAAAGAGGGGUGGUCGUCGCUUAAGGAAGAUGAAAGAAAGGUAUGCUAUAACAGAUAUGAGGAAGCUAGCGAACAGGAUGCAAUUUGGAGUACCUGAGGAAAGCUCUUUAGGUGAUGGACUAGGUGAAGGUUAUGGAAUGCUUGGUCAGGCUGGGAGUGGCAAACUGCGUGUUUCAAUUGGUCAGAGCAAACUUGCAGCCAAAGUUGCUAAGAAGUUCAAGGAAAAGAAUUACGGAAGCAGUGGUGCCACCUCUGGGCUGACUUCAAGUUUGGCAUUCACACCUGUGCAGGGGAUUGAGCUCACAAAUCCUCAAGCUCAUGCACAUCAGCUUGGCAGUGGAACUCAAAGUACUUACUUCUCAGAGACAGGAACAUUUUCAAAGAUCAAGAGGACAUAGAAAGGGAAGAAGCUCACCUAAUUAGAUGACAUUUGGUUAUGCUGUAAUUACGCAUUUGAUAAGAGUUUUAUAGACUAAAGCACAAGUUUUGUUAGCUUAGCUGGCUAUAUUUGCCCCUUCUUUGUAAGCUACCAGUCACUGUUUCCCUGUUAUCUUCCAGAAUCCCCUGUUUUUAAAGAAGAACUGAUGAAGGCAGCAAUCAGCUGGUGAAAGAUUGAAGAGAACCAUCAGCAGCAACCAGUGUCAUAGGGUCAUUACUCUUCUCUUCUCAAAGGACUUGUAUGAUAAGGAUAUCCAUUUGAGUUUAUUGUAGCUAAUGAAUAUUAUUGAAGGAAUUGGAAUGUGAUUAUAUUUGAUGUGAAGAAUAGAGCAUCGAGUCUAUUUUGCUGCGUUUAUAAUUUCAUUUGAGUUUAUUAUAGCUAUUUUGAUAUAUGAUUAAAAUUUGUUAAGGAUUAAAUUGAUAGAAUUUGUAAAUGUAUACUAAAUUUGUUGACUUAUUUAGAAUUACGGCCAAAUUGAGGAUUUAAAUGUGUUAUUAUACCAAUUAAAAAAAGAGUGAGUCAUAAUUUUCAUAAAAAAGCAGCAGAGGAAUUGGCGAGUGAUGAAAGUUUUUGUAGUUGGGGAAGUAUGAAAAUUAGAUGGUUUAUGGUUAUAAUAGAAUGUGGAUUAGAGUUUGUAAGUGGUAAAAACUAAAUAAGAGAUUUGUGAGUAGUGAUGUCCUUUUUGAGGGCCCAUUUUCAACA